This 251-nucleotide ribosomal RNA is filed under the name uncultured bacterium. RNAcentral's name for it is "partial 16S ribosomal RNA". It matches the Rfam family "Bacterial small subunit ribosomal RNA", at positions 524 to 776 of the family's 1533-position model. The record is from RNAcentral.
UACGAAGGGGGCUAGCGUUGCUCGGAAUCACUGGGCGUAAAGCGCACGUAGGCGGCUUUUAAGUCAGGGUGAAAUCCUGGAGCUCAACUCCAGAACUGCCUUUGAUACUGAGAAGCUUGAGUUCGGGAGAGGUGAGUGGAACUGCGAGUGUAGAGGUGAAAUUCGUAGAUAUUCGCAAGAACACCAGUGGCGAAGGCGGCUCACUGGCCCGAUACUGACGCUGAGGCACGAAAGCGUGGGGAGCAAACAGG